RNAcentral lists this ribosomal RNA (397 nucleotides) under uncultured bacterium. RNAcentral's name for it is "partial 16S ribosomal RNA". It matches the Rfam family "Bacterial small subunit ribosomal RNA", at positions 360 to 774 of the family's 1533-position model. The record is from RNAcentral.
AAUCUAGCGCAAUGGUCGAAAGCCUGACCCAGACCUGCCGCGUGAAUGAGGAAGGACAAAGGAUCGUAAAAUUCUUUCACCGGGGACGAUAAUGACGGUACCCGGAGAAGAAGCACCCGCUACCUCCGUGCCAGCAGCCGCGGUAAUACGAAGGGGGCUAGCGUUGCUCGGAAUUACUGGGCGUAAAGGGCGCGUAGGCGGAUCGUUAAGUCAGAGGGGAAAUCCCAGGGCUCAACCCUGGAACUGCCUUUGAUACUGGCGAUCUUGAGUAUGAGAGAGGUAUGUGGAACUCCGAGUGUAGAGGUGAAAGUCGUAGAUAUUCGGAAGAACACCAGUGGCGAAGGCGACAUACUGGCUCAUUACUGACGCUGAGGCGCGAAAGCGUGGGGAGCAAACA